Molecule: transfer RNA, 68 nt
Filed under: Erinaceus europaeus (western European hedgehog)
Lineage: Eukaryota; Metazoa; Chordata; Mammalia; Eulipotyphla; Erinaceidae
Rfam family: tRNA
About the family: Transfer RNA (tRNA) molecules are approximately 80 nucleotides in length.
Source: Rfam by way of RNAcentral
GGGGUUAUAGCUCAGUGGUAGAGCAUUUGACUGCAAAUAAAGAUACCACUUUAAAAAAAAUAAUUCCC